Molecule: unclassified non-coding RNA, 19 nt
Filed under: Chlamydomonas reinhardtii
Lineage: Eukaryota; Viridiplantae; Chlorophyta; Chlorophyceae; Chlamydomonadales; Chlamydomonadaceae
Description: small RNA Cre_4092
Source: RNAcentral
UUUACUGCCGUGUCCUGCU